This 377-nucleotide ribosomal RNA is filed under the name uncultured Gemmatimonadota bacterium. RNAcentral describes it as "bacterial SSU rRNA". It matches the Rfam family "Bacterial small subunit ribosomal RNA", at positions 521 to 896 of the family's 1533-position model. Lineage: Bacteria; Pseudomonadati; Gemmatimonadota. The record is from RNAcentral.
UAAGACGGAGGGCGCAAGCGUUGUUCGGAAUUACUGGGCGUAAAGGGCAGGUAGGUGGUCUGUUAAGUCUUCUGUGAAAAUCCGGGGCUCAACCCCGCGAAAUGCAGGUGAAACUGGCAGACUUGAGACCAGUAGAGGCUAGCGGAAUUCCUGGUGUAGCGGUGGAAUGCGUAGAUAUCAGGAAGAACACCUGUGGCGAAGGCGGCUAGCUGGGCUGGUUCUGACACUGAACUGCGAAAGCGUGGGGAGCAAACAGGAUUAGAUACCCUGGUAGUCCACGCCGUAAACGAUGUCAACUAGCCGUUGGGACUCUUGAAGUCUUAGUGGCGCAGCUAACGCACUAAGUUGACCGCCUGGGGAGUACGGCCGCAAGGUUA